CCGUUGUGGCCAUGAAAACAUCCAAAAGAUGACAUCGACAUGUGAAAUAUAUUGUGAUAGUGUGGUUUUAGCUGCUGGCUAAUGUUAGCUUGCUGGCACACUAGCUAACUGGUAAUAAAAAAAAACGUGAUUAUGUUGGGAAAACUGCAGUUAUUUUAUUAGAAUGACAUGAAUAGCAUUAAACGUUACUAAACGUAACGUGAAUACACUUGAAUGGGUAAACUCGUCCGUGAAGAGAUGCAUUGUUUCUAUCCAGC
Molecule: long non-coding RNA, 257 nt
Organism: Etheostoma spectabile (orangethroat darter)
Lineage: Eukaryota; Metazoa; Chordata; Actinopteri; Perciformes; Percidae
Exons: 3
Source: RefSeq, a predicted model, not a curated record